CAGAAGGUCGCUGGUUCGAUUCCAGCAUGAGGCACCAAAACUUUUUGAAGGAACUGAACCUAUGUUGUUGUUGGAACUCGAAAUACUUUUUGGGACUUUCUGA
This 103-nucleotide microRNA precursor is filed under the name Caenorhabditis sp. 23 AD-2012. The record is from RNAcentral. Lineage: Eukaryota; Metazoa; Nematoda; Chromadorea; Rhabditida; Rhabditidae.